This 569-nucleotide small RNA is filed under the name Pan troglodytes (chimpanzee). RNAcentral describes it as "retained intron". The record is from RNAcentral. Lineage: Eukaryota; Metazoa; Chordata; Mammalia; Primates; Hominidae.
CCUCAGAGAAAGUGGACUUCAGUAGUUCCUCUGACUCAGAAUCUGAGAUGGGACCUCAGGAAGCAACACAGGCAGAAUCUGAGGAUGGAAAGCUGACCCUUCCAUUGGCUGGGAUUAUGCAGCAUGAUGCCACCAAGCUGUUGCCAAGUGUCACAGAACUUUUUCCAGAAUUUCGACCUGGAAAGGUGUUACGCUUUCUACGUCUUUUUGGACCAGGGAAGAAUGUCCCAUCUGUUUGGCGGAGUGCUCGGAGAAAGAGGAAGAAGAAGCACCGUGAGCUGAUACAGGAAGAGCAGAUCCAGGAGGUGGAGUGCUCAGUAGAAUCAGAAGUCAGCCAGAAGUCUUUGUGGAACGACGACUACGCUCCACCACCACCUCCAGAGCAGUGUCUCUCUGAUGAUGAAGUAGGCAAAAUAGAGACCUGAGAUUAAGGCCUAUGAGAGGAACAAAGGAAUUCAAUGAGUUCUCCCUAAUUUAUGUCUAAAUUGUAAAUAACACCAUAGCAGAUAGAAUUCUGUGCUAAUUUUCAAUGAGUAAUCAUGGGUUCAAUCUCAGUGGCUGCCCCUUCC